Molecule: long non-coding RNA, 272 nt
Filed under: Olea europaea (common olive)
Lineage: Eukaryota; Viridiplantae; Streptophyta; Magnoliopsida; Lamiales; Oleaceae
Description: long non-coding RNA (OEUR_LNC014395)
Source: RNAcentral
GUCCCUCAACCACAAUCCCUAGCCACAUUGGAAGCUUCACCGUGUCAACGACGUCAUUGUUGUCGAAAAUCGUGACUCGCAGUAUUGAACCAGGUUACGAUUUCAACGAUGCUUCCAACAGCAGAGGUGGUGGCGGUGAUGCAUGACGCAGCAACAACACCGUUGAAAGUGGCGCCGCAUACAUUCGGCAAUGCCUCUGUAUUUGUCAGUGCCUCUGCAAAUGCUAUUCCAAUGCCGACACCUAUACUCUAGCGUUGGUACGAACAAAUCAU